Molecule: unclassified non-coding RNA, 389 nt
Filed under: Hevea brasiliensis (rubber tree)
Lineage: Eukaryota; Viridiplantae; Streptophyta; Magnoliopsida; Malpighiales; Euphorbiaceae
Source: RNAcentral
CCAGUGACGGGACACUUAGGCCCACUUGCCCUCUUCUUGGUGGUCUGAUACACCAAUUUCCCGCCAGGGGUCUUGACGAUGCGGUGCUGAUUAGAUUUGGUGGCGUAACUAUGCCUUCCCCGGUAAGUGAGUCGCUGAACCAUUUUUCACCUUUUCGGAGCUCUUCCACAGCCUCUCGUUUGGGUAUUGGCAGUUUGGCACAAGAAAGAGGCCGAGACUAAAGAAAGUAUAUGAACGGUGUUCCGUGUAUGUGGAACCCUAGAUCUGAGGACUGUAAUUGAGAGGUGUUCCUGAUCUACGGUUAGGAUUACACUAAGUGUUUCUUCAGGCCAGGUUUCAGAAUUUGUAAAUUGGCCUCAACUUUUGCUAUAAUUCAAAAGUGCAUUUUU